This 576-nucleotide ribosomal RNA is filed under the name Shigella sonnei. RNAcentral's name for it is "partial 23S ribosomal RNA". It matches the Rfam family "Bacterial large subunit ribosomal RNA", at positions 474 to 1050 of the family's 2925-position model. Lineage: Bacteria; Pseudomonadati; Pseudomonadota; Gammaproteobacteria; Enterobacterales; Enterobacteriaceae. The record is from RNAcentral.
UCCUGACUGACCGAUAGUGAACCAGUACCGUGAGGGAAAGGCGAAAAGAACCCCGGCGAGGGGAGUGAAAAAGAACCUGAAACCGUGUACGUACAAGCAGUGGGAGCACGCUUAGGCGUGUGACUGCGUACCUUUUGUAUAAUGGGUCAGCGACUUAUAUUCUGUAGCAAGGUUAACCGAAUAGGGGAGCCGAAGGGAAACCGAGUCUUAACUGGGCGUUAAGUUGCAGGGUAUAGACCCGAAACCCGGUGAUCUAGCCAUGGGCAGGUUGAAGGUUGGGUAACACUAACUGGAGGACCGAACCGACUAAUGUUGAAAAAUUAGCGGAUGACUUGUGGCUGGGGGUGAAAGGCCAAUCAAACCGGGAGAUAGCUGGUUCUCCCCGAAAGCUAUUUAGGUAGCGCCUCGUGAAUUCAUCUCCGGGGGUAGAGCACUGUUUCGGCAAGGGGGUCAUCCCGACUUACCAACCCGAUGCAAACUGCGAAUACCGGAGAAUGUUAUCACGGGAGACACACGGCGGGUGCUAACGUCCGUCGUGAAGAGGGAAACAACCCAGACCGCCAGCUAAGGUCCCAA